UAAAACGCUAGGAAUGAGAGAGUAUGUAGGUUAUACCCUUACAGAGAGCUUUUGUCAGGUGGAAAAGAGCAGGGUGAAUUUAUAGAAGAUGGCUCAGGAGCGGUGCGCCAAACCGUGUAAAACGCUUAGGACGCAACAGGUUUGCCUGUUACAGCAAAGGAGUAUAAUUAUCCGGAUGGAUAACGUACUUGCUAAGUUCUUUUGCCGUGAGGCAGAGAUAAAAUGAAGUGGUAACACGGGUAAUACUCGUCUUCUAA
Molecule: non-coding RNA, 257 nt
Filed under: Anaerocolumna xylanovorans
Lineage: Bacteria; Bacillati; Bacillota; Clostridia; Lachnospirales; Lachnospiraceae
Description: T-box sequence
Rfam family: T-box leader
About the family: Uncharged tRNA acts as the effector for transcription antitermination of genes in the T-box leader family. T-boxes are found upstream of many aminoacyl-tRNA synthetase genes and some amino acid biosynthetic genes usually in Gram-positive bacteria.
Source: RNAcentral